UACGAAGGGUGCAAGCGUUGUUCGGAUUUACUGGGCGUAAAGGGCGCGUAGGCGGCGUGACUAGUCACUUGUGAAAUCUCCGGGCUUAACUCGGAACGGUCAAGUGAUACUGUCGUGCUAGAGUACAGAAGGGGCAACUGGAAUUCUCGGUGUAGCGGUGAAAUGCGUAGAUAUCGAGAGGAACACCUGCGGCGAAGGCGGGUUGCUGGGCUGAUACUGACGCUGAUGCGCGAAAGCCAGGGGAGCGAACGGG
This 253-nucleotide ribosomal RNA is filed under the name uncultured bacterium. RNAcentral's name for it is "partial 16S ribosomal RNA". It matches the Rfam family "Bacterial small subunit ribosomal RNA", at positions 524 to 776 of the family's 1533-position model. The record is from RNAcentral.